AUGGCCGCGCCAGCUCUCCCCCUUGCCAACCACGCCGCUCCCACGGCCACGGCCAGGUACCUCCACCGCAACCUCCAGUUACUGCAGCCCAAGCGGCAGCUCCCGCCCGGCUUCCUCGCCGCUCGGCCUCUCCGGCAGCCGCGCCGGGCGCUCUCCGCCGUGCCGGAAACCAAGGAGGAGGACGCCAAGACGGCCGAGGAGAUCACCGAGAAGUACGGCCUCGAGGUCGGCCUCUGGAAGAUAUUUAGCUCGAAGGAGGAGGAGGGAGGCGAGGAAGGGGAGGAGGGGAAGCCGAAGAAGUCGAGAACGGAGCAGGCCAAGGAGCUCCUGGGCAAGUACGGCGGCGCGUACCUGGCCACCUCGAUCACGCUCUCGCUCAUCUCCUUCACCGCCUGCUACCUCCUCAUCAACGCCGGCGUCGACGUCCAGCAGCUGCUCGGCAAGAUUGGGAUCGCCACGGACGAGACCGGAGGGAAGGUGGGGACAUUCGCGCUGGCCUACGCCGCGCAUAAGGCCGCGUCGCCGAUAAGGUUCCCGCCGACUGUGGCGCUCACGCCGGUGGUGGCCAACUGGAUAGGGAAGAUCACCAAGGGAGGCGACUGA
Molecule: ribosomal RNA, 603 nt
Filed under: Triticum aestivum (bread wheat)
Lineage: Eukaryota; Viridiplantae; Streptophyta; Magnoliopsida; Poales; Poaceae
Description: partial small subunit ribosomal RNA
Source: RNAcentral